GUGCAGCAGCCGCGGUAAUACGGAGGAUCCAAGCGUUAUCCGGAAUCAUUGGGUUUAAAGGGUCCGUAGGCGGUCUGGUAAGUCAGAGGUGAAAUCCUGCAGCUCAACUGUAGCAUUGCCUUUGAUACUGCCAGACUUGAGUUAUUGUGAAGUAGUUAGAAUGUGUAGUGUAGCGGUGAAAUGCAUAGAUAUUACACAGAAUACCGAUUGCGAAAGCAGAUUACUAACAAUAUACUGACGCUGAGGGACGAAAGCUAGGGUAGCAAAUGGGAUUAGAUA
This 279-nucleotide ribosomal RNA is filed under the name uncultured bacterium. Its description in RNAcentral is "partial 16S ribosomal RNA". It matches the Rfam family "Bacterial small subunit ribosomal RNA", at positions 505 to 784 of the family's 1533-position model. The record is from RNAcentral.